This 440-nucleotide ribosomal RNA is filed under the name uncultured bacterium. Its description in RNAcentral is "partial 16S ribosomal RNA". It matches the Rfam family "Bacterial small subunit ribosomal RNA", at positions 338 to 795 of the family's 1533-position model. The record is from RNAcentral.
CCUACGGGUGGCAGCAGUGGGGAAUAUUGCACAAUGGGGGAAACCCUGAUGCAGCGACGCCGCGUGAGUGAAGAAGUAUUUCGGUAUGUAAAGCUCUAUCAGCAGGGAAGAGAAUGACGGUACCUGACUAAGAAGCCCCGGCUAACUACGUGCCAGCAGCCGCGGUAAUACGUAGGGGGCAAGCGUUAUCCGGAUUUACUGGGUGUAAAGGGAGCGUAGACGGCUGUACAAGUCUGAAGUGAAAGCCCGUGGCUCAACCGUGGAACUGCUUUGGAAACUGUAAAGCUGGAGUGCUGGAGAGGUAGGCGGAAUUCCUGGUGUAGCGGUGAAAUGCGUAGAUAUUAGGAGGAACACCAGUGGCGAAGGCGGCUUGCUGGACUGAAACUGACGUGGAGGCUCGAAAGCGUGGGGAGCAAACAGGAUUAGAUACCCGUGUAGUC